RNAcentral lists this ribosomal RNA (1202 nucleotides) under activated sludge metagenome. RNAcentral's name for it is "bacterial LSU rRNA". It matches the Rfam family "Bacterial large subunit ribosomal RNA", at positions 1103 to 2313 of the family's 2925-position model. The record is from RNAcentral.
UGCUUGGAAGCAGCAAUUCAUUUAAAGAGUGCGUAACAGCUCACUAGUCGAGUGAUCGAGCGCGGAAAAUAAUCGGGCAUCAAGUGUACCACCGAAGCUAUGGAUUAGCAGCAAAUGCUGUUAGUGGUAGAGGAGCAUUCCAGUCUGCUGCGAAGGUGUAUCGUGAGGUAUGCUGGAGCGUCUGGAAAAGAAAAUGUAGGUAUAAGUAACGAUAAAAUAUGUGAGAAACAUAUUCGCCGUAAGACUAAGGGUUCCUGAUCAACGUUAAUCGGAUCAGGGUUAGUCGGGGCCUAAGGUGCACCCGAGAGGGGAAACCGAUGGGAAAGGAGUUAAUAUUCUUGUACCAGCUUAUGCUGCGAUGGGGUGACGGAGUAGUGAAAGUCCUGCGUACGGACGGAAGUGUACGUUAAAGGGCGUAGUUUAUGAGAGGGCCAGGCAAAUCCAGUCCUUGAGAUGAAACCCGAUAGUACCGCGAUCUUUUAAGAGAGCGGAUAAUGGACCUAAUCAUACUUCCAAGAAAAACCUCUAAGCUUCAGGCAUAAGCUGCCCGUACCGCAAACCGACACAGGUAGUCGAGGAGAGUAUCCUCAGGCGCUCGAGUGAUUCACGGCUAAGGAACUCGGCAAAAUAGACCCGUAACUUCGGGAGAAGGGUCGCCCCGCGCAAGCGGGGCCGCAGUAAAAAGGCUCAGGCGACUGUUUAGCAAAAACACAGGGCUCUGCAAAAUCGAAAGAUGAAGUAUAGGGCCUGACACCUGCCCGGUGCUGGAAGGUUAAGGAAGCUUGUUAGUGGGAAACUGCGAAGCUUGUAACUGAAGCCCCAGUAAACGGCGGCCGUAACUAUAACGGUCCUAAGGUAGCGAAAUUCCUUGUCGGGUAAGUUCCGACCUGCACGAAUGGUGUAACGAUCUGAGCACUGUCUCGGCCGUGAGCUCGGUGAAAUUGUAGUCCCGGUGAAGAUGCCGGGUACCCGCAACGGGACGGAAAGACCCCGUGAACCUUCACUAUAGCUUUGCAUUGGUUUUGAGUAAAUAAUGUGUAGGAUAGGUGGGAGGCUGCGAAGCAGGCACGCUAGUGUUUGUGGAGCCGUCCUUGAAAUACCACCCUUUAUUUACUUAGAGUCUAACUCUUUGAAAGAGGACAGUGCAUGGUGGGUAGUUUGACUGGGGUGGUCGCCUCCAAAAGAGUAACGGAGGCUUUCAA